UGUGGUGUGAAUGGUUAAUGUAUUUGGCUGCUAACCAAAAGUUGAUGGUUCAAGUCCACCCA
Molecule: transfer RNA, 62 nt
Filed under: Loxodonta africana (African savanna elephant)
Lineage: Eukaryota; Metazoa; Chordata; Mammalia; Proboscidea; Elephantidae
Rfam family: tRNA
About the family: Transfer RNA (tRNA) molecules are approximately 80 nucleotides in length.
Source: Rfam by way of RNAcentral